Molecule: long non-coding RNA, 219 nt
Filed under: Elaeis guineensis (African oil palm)
Lineage: Eukaryota; Viridiplantae; Streptophyta; Magnoliopsida; Arecales; Arecaceae
Description: long non-coding RNA (EGUI_LNC056588)
Source: RNAcentral
GCUGUUGCCCUUAGAUGUUGGAACAUGACUUAAAAAAUUUAUAAUAUAAUUAAAAAAUUAAAUAAAAUUAAUAAUAUUUUAUUAUAAAAAAUUUAAAUAAUUUAUAGAAUAUCAAGACAUAAAAUUAAUCAAAUCUGAAAAUAUAUUGGACACUGUCCUAAGACGUAUUUUUAUCCCUCAUAUAAAAAUAUUCGAAAAAAUCAUUCUAAAAUAUGAUCG